This is a long non-coding RNA of Acanthopagrus latus (yellowfin seabream), 2013 nucleotides long. RefSeq lists it as uncharacterized. The record is from RefSeq and is a predicted model, not a curated record. Lineage: Eukaryota; Metazoa; Chordata; Actinopteri; Spariformes; Sparidae. The transcript is spliced from 2 exons.
CCGACCUGAACACGGUUCAGGAAGCAGAAUUUAAUUAGGUUUCUAUCCAAGAAAUCACCAGAAAAGUGCCAUCAUACGAGUCCAUAUGCUGCAGCGUGUUGGGAGCUUUGUUGCAGUAAUAUUUGCGUCUGAGACACUGCACCCACCUGAGCUCCACACCUUCUGGAUCAAUCAACUCGAUCAGUUGUCGUAUUGUGUCUUGUGACACAACAUAUCCUCUCUGAGUUGCACGUAGGUGUAACCAUCCAUAUCCUUGCAUUUGUCCAUUACCAGCAGUUUCAGUUUGCAUGAAUGCAGCCACCUCUUCCAUGCUUGUUUGGUUUUUCCUUCUGAACAAAGACAGUUUUCAGCACAAUCUCUUCAAAGUCCUAAUACUGACAACUACACUGUGUUUAUGAGCUGGAAGACACAUUUGUCGAGGCAGUCAUAUUCACUGUUUGAUGUCGUCUCAAAUGGUUGACUUUGAUCUUAAAAUGUCAACUUUCGUCUUGAAGUGCAUAAUGAAAGUAAUAAAACUUCCCCCUGACAUGUUUCUCUCACCCUUUGCCCUAAUACUCUUCUGUAUGCUUCAGCAUCAGACUGUAGUUCUUAAAAGGGAUAUUCCGGUGUAAAUUUAAUCCAUAGUCUCACACCUUGACACCGAGUACGACCCCCCCUCGAGAGAUAAAGUUUGCGGACCGCUAGCUUACGUAGUUUUAGCAUCCUCAGAAACGACCGCACAACAACAAUACACUGCUGUAAAUGGAUCCAAGUAUAAAUCGCCAUCAAAAAGCCACUAAACUUACACCGGAAUAUCCCUUUAAGAGCAGGUCCUCAUGUGAGCACAGGCUGCAGUUUGGUAUGAACUCCACUAGAGGGCGUCAUCACAUCUCACUUAUUCUCUACAAACCAUUUGGACCAGAGGAGGCUCGUCCAUAGAGGCAGAGGAGGGGUUGUUUUUUUUUAAGAGUAACUGGUUGAAAUAAAUCAUUACCAAAUCUCAAUAUCAUAUAUAAAAUCUUAUAUAUAUAUAUUAUAUCAUUAAGAAAGUUUCUUCUUUGGAAGAAAAUCCACUUAAAACGGUUGAGCAGCUUCAGCUGCAGCCGGAGGAGACAGAGCAGUCUGUGGGAGGAGCAGGGAGCAGGAAGGUGGCGGCUAGAGGAGGACGGAGGGCUUCUGUCCUCCGGGGGAGGAUCUCCUUCCAUUCACUCAAUGCAUUUAGGAUUUUUUUCAUGCUGGUCUAUGAUUGGCUAAGACACAUGAAAUGACACGCUAAGGGAGGACGUCCUCCCUUACCAAUCAGCAACCAGAAUACAAGAUUGACAGCAGGUUGGUCAAAUAACAGUUCCCAAAUUUCAUUCUCACAUUUAUACAACCGUAAACAAAAAAUACUUGUAUGUAUUUUACAGCUUUCACUGCCAGCCAUGCUCGGACAAGAAAUAUGGAGUUUUCAGCGAUAUUGGAAUCGUUUUUGUUUCGUUCGUCCUGCUGGAGGACAUAAAGUCAGCUGCACGACCGGGACACAAUACAGAGCAGCAACACAGUUGUUUUGUGUGAUUGUGAUGAGUGAUGAGUGCGAUGUUCUGUGCUGUUGUGAAGGAUGUAUAUUGACGGCUGUGGUAGCACAGUGGGUAGAGCAGUUGGUUGUCACACAGGUGACUGGGGAUCAAAUCCUGGAGGGGUACACAUUGGUACAAGAUUGAUUGAAAAUGAUCUUUAAGAUUGACAAACAUCAUAUGUGUGAUUCAUGACACAAUUCAGGCAGGAUCAAUAUAUUAUUUGUCUCUCUCAUUUACUACCAUACAAAGUUCUUCUGGUUUAAGGUUCCAUGGGGUCUGAGGGAAGAGGCGAACAGAAUGCUGAAGACGUGCUUUAAAAAAUUAUGUUUCAAGGUCAAGAAAUUCACAAUUUGUCAUAAUUGUAGUAAAAUAUCAUGCAGUUUUGUGUGAAAGCGCUCAGUGAACUUCAUCAUCUCACUCAACACACGUCACCAACAGCAACAUGGCCGCCAACUCAGCACAGCAAAAUUAUAAA